This 24-nucleotide non-coding RNA is filed under the name Arabidopsis thaliana (thale cress). RNAcentral also lists the same sequence under 9 other names. The record is from RNAcentral. Lineage: Eukaryota; Viridiplantae; Streptophyta; Magnoliopsida; Brassicales; Brassicaceae.
GCCCAGUGCUCUGAAUGUCAAAGU